This 1182-nucleotide long non-coding RNA is filed under the name Anser brachyrhynchus (Pink-footed goose). RNAcentral describes it as "lncRNA (ENSABRG00000022979.1)". The record is from RNAcentral. Lineage: Eukaryota; Metazoa; Chordata; Aves; Anseriformes; Anatidae.
UAGUCUUCAGAAAGGAGACCCAACCUUUCCCCCAAUUAAUCUCAUUUUUCUGCUAUAUCUAUUUAUCCUUUUUCUUUUAAAGAUAUUAUCAGUUUUAAAUAUUUGGGCCACUUGAGUGUAGUGGUGCAGGUGCAGUGGCCUCCACUGCUGCUAUUCACAACACCCAGAGGACAGCAAUCAGGUUCACACCUGAGAUAGGGGAAAAGUGGCACAACAGUUCCCCUACUUCAUUACUCAAGCCUGGGUGGUUUAGCUCUAAGAAGCAGCAGCAAGGAGUGAAGUUUGUUUUUGAAAGCAAACUAACUAGCUGGGAACCUGGCAUGCUGGUCUGUCUGAGCUCUGCAGUUUCCCUCUUCUUCCUUACAACUCUUCUACCCUCUUCAGUUCAGGUUUUCAAUUCUAUAUCAAUUAAGAAACCACAUUUUGGUUUUGAGUGACUAGCUUUUAGUUUUAUUUGUAAGCCAGUAAAAGAAGACUGCAAAUCUUCAUCCUUCUUUGGAAGGACUGAUAUGAAUAAAUAGGUGUUAGUUGAGUAUCUGGUAACUGCCAAAACAGAAGAUACGAAAUGUGGAGAUGCAUGCUCUGUCUGGAAGGCUUCGAAAGACCAGCUCCUGUGUUCUGCCACUACCCUAGAGAAAUCCCUGUGUACUUAUUUGCUCUUGGAAACAACAAAUUGCUGUCUGAAGCCAUGGGAGUCCCUGCCUCUGUCUGCUACAGUACCAUAUUUCUUGCAUUGAAGAAAAAUCUUCAUCCACUGUGAAGCCAUGUUGUGCAGCUCCCAUAGACUUGCACUGACUGUCGAAUUGUGUUAUUUUAAUGAUGCUGUAGUAUCUCCAAAGGCCUAUUUAAAUCCACUUACCUGUUAGGCUGAAUUUUUUGGGGAAGUUGCAGAUAUAUGGGGGAGGGUGGGAUUCGAAGUCUACACAAGACUGAGAAGCAAGAUCUUUUUUCCCUAAUCAAAUGCAUGUGAUGCAGUCAUUCAGAAGGAAUCAGGAACUGCACUGUCUUCAGAUGAAUGUAUGUGCGGCAGGACACGAUGGAUGACAAAGUUUACGUUGAAUUCAUACUGUGUGCUUUAGAGAAUAUAUCUAUCUGAAAUGUAAAUACAAGAGAAUUCAGAUAUUUGCUCUCUAGCAGCAGAUUUAGGGAAAAAUAAAGAAACCAACUUGAAGUAAUGUUGCA